UCCCAAAUCCUAAAUCACAUAUCCACAUAAUAAUUAAAUUAAAACAAAAGUUGAAAUUAAUAUCUUUGGUCACAUUACAUAAUCUUGGCUCAACGACAGCAACUCGUCAUCUACCGACCAACGACCCAAUCUAACCUGUGAGGAGUAGGGAAAAAGGUGAGUAUAUGGAAAUACUCAAUAGGAUAUAAAAAUCAAUUGUGCGAUCCCGUAUAAUAAUUUUAAAGCAUGGAUCAGAAAAUCAUAUCAUUUCAUAUCUUUAAAUCUGUCUCGUAUCAUAUUUUUGUAUCGGAAUAGCCAUAUCAUUCAUAUCAUAGCAUAUCAUAUCAUAUCAUAACAUUAACUUUCAUAAGUAUAAAAAUCAUCAGCAUAAAAAAAAAUUUAAACGGGGAUUAAAAAAAAAAAAAACACUGCACCUCAAUAUCCCACCUCGUAAGAUUGAAUAAAUUCUUGAAAGAUGAAGUCCAAAAAUUACGUUUCAAAUCUUCUAAUUUUCUUGGUUGCCUUUUAAAAAAUUGACAUUGUCUUCUACAUAAUGCUUAUGUA
RNAcentral lists this long non-coding RNA (543 nucleotides) under Olea europaea (common olive). RNAcentral's name for it is "long non-coding RNA (OEUR_LNC010640)". Lineage: Eukaryota; Viridiplantae; Streptophyta; Magnoliopsida; Lamiales; Oleaceae. The record is from RNAcentral.